CAGUAGCCACGGGAAUACGAAGGGUGCAAGCGUUAAUCGGAAUUACUGGGCGUAAAGCGUGCGUAGGCGGUUUGUUAAGUCUGCUGUGAAAUCCCCGGGCUCAACCUGGGAAUGGCAGUGGAUACUGGCAAGCUAGAGUGUGUCAGAGGAUGGUGGAAUUCCCGGUGUAGCGGUGAAAUGCGUAGAGAUCGGGAGGAACAUCAGUGGCGAAGGCGGCCAUCUGGGACAACACUGACGCUGAGGCACGAAAGCGUGGGGAGCAAACAGGAUUAGAUACCCCAGUAGUCCCUGUCUCUUAUAA
RNAcentral lists this ribosomal RNA (301 nucleotides) under uncultured bacterium. RNAcentral describes it as "partial 16S ribosomal RNA". It matches the Rfam family "Bacterial small subunit ribosomal RNA", at positions 509 to 809 of the family's 1533-position model. The record is from RNAcentral.